RNAcentral lists this long non-coding RNA (579 nucleotides) under Bos mutus (wild yak). Its description in RNAcentral is "lncRNA (ENSBMUG00000024451.1)". The stretch from base 52 to 118 matches the Rfam family "Small nucleolar RNA SNORD109A". Lineage: Eukaryota; Metazoa; Chordata; Mammalia; Artiodactyla; Bovidae. The record is from RNAcentral.
GGAAAUGAGCCUGGCUAUGGAAAUGCUUAUUUGUUGGGAGGGUGCUUGUCUGGAUCGAUGAUGAGAAAAACUGUCUGAGGAUGCUGAGGGACUCAUUCCAGAUGUCAAUCUGAGGUCCAGAUGAAUGCCCCUCUAACCGGACAAGUAAGACUCUCAGAGCCUGGCUCUAUGUGGUGACCCCUCAGUGACAACAUGCCAAUCAGGACUGGAAUCAGGACUUCCGCUUCAGAGGAUGGGGGCAAAGCAACAAUAUAACUCCAGAGCACAGUCAAUAAGACACUUAUGUGAAGGACUGAACAGAAAACUCUCUGGUGAUACAGUGUCAUCUAAGGGUAAACAAGAUACCAGUAGAGCAACUGGACUGGGUGUCCUCCAAAAAAAUCCUCCUUAACUAUCAUUUCCCAAAAUGAAUCAAGCACUAAAUAAUGUAAUGCUGCUGGCAAAAGUAUUAGUAGUAGUAGAAGGAGGAGGAGGAGAAGGGAAGAAAAACAGCUCCUCUUUGCUACUAAUCAAGGGUGAACUUGUAUGCUUCCCCAUUCACUGAGGCAGAAGGUAAAUUCAAGAAAAUAGUUUCUCUUA